This 777-nucleotide ribosomal RNA is filed under the name uncultured Neocallimastigales. Its description in RNAcentral is "partial large subunit ribosomal RNA". It matches the Rfam family "Eukaryotic large subunit ribosomal RNA", at positions 24 to 649 of the family's 3401-position model. The record is from RNAcentral. Lineage: Eukaryota; Fungi; Neocallimastigomycota; Neocallimastigomycetes; Neocallimastigales.
UAUGUGAUCGUCUCUCGCAUAUCAAUAAGCGGAGGAAAAGAAACUAACAAGGAUUCCCCUAGUAACGGCGAGUGAAGCGGGAAGAGCUCAAAUUUGAAAUCUUAAAGGGUUUCCCUUUACGAAUUGUAGUUUAAAGAAGUGUUUUCUGUUGAGGUUUUGGUAAAAGUUCUUUGGAAUAGGACAUCAUAGAGGGUGAGAAUCCCGUAUUUGACCUUUACUUUCAACUUUGUGAUACACUUUCAAAGAGUCGGAUUGUUUGGGAAUGCAGUCCAAAAUGGGUGGCUAAAUUUCAUCUAAAGCUAAAUACUUGGCGAGAGACCGAUAGCGAACAAGUACCGUGAGGGAAAGAUGAAAAGAACUUUGAAAAGAGAGUUAAACAGUACGUGAAAUUGUCAAAAGGGAAGCGUUUGACACCAGUGUUGUUUUUCUGGAAAUCAAUUAAAGAAACUGUUUAUGCUAAGCUGUUUAGACUUUAUCAGCUAUCUGUUUAGUUUUGAGCUUUUCUUUAAUGCACUUUUCAGUUAACAAGUCAACAUCAAUUUCUUUUGCUGUAAAAAAGCUUGAGGAAGGUGGCUUGAGAUUCGUCUUAAGUGUUUAUAGCCUCUUGCCUAUGCAGUCGGAGAGAUUGAGGUCUGCAGCGUAGAUCCUUCGGGGCUAAAUGCAUUUGUGCUAAGUUAUAGCAUUUUAUAGACAACUUGUUGACUAUGAUUUGUCUUGUAGCUUACUCGCUUAUGUUAUUUUACCUACGCUUAGGAUGUUGAGUAGCGACAUACGCAC